Molecule: long non-coding RNA, 298 nt
Organism: Gekko japonicus
Lineage: Eukaryota; Metazoa; Chordata; Lepidosauria; Squamata; Gekkonidae
Exons: 4
Source: RefSeq, a predicted model, not a curated record
CAUGAAUUUUCUGGCUGUGGAGUCGGUCAGCUUCACCGGCAGUCUGCCCUUAUGUGACGGUCACCCGCCAGGACUGCGCACCUAGAAGAAUGUCGCCGUUAACCCGCAAGAGCUUAGCUGAAUGUAAGACAACAGCGCUGUAUCGUGCCUGGACGGGACAACUCUUCAUUCAGGAGCAGCGAGUGUGCGACCUGGCCCUCCGCUCGCCGUUCAGCGGCACCAUCCCAGCCCAGUUGCCAGCCAAUCUUGAAGCCAGGCACAUCGUGGCCGUGUCGGACUUGAGAAAGAAGCUGCCUGC